RNAcentral lists this unclassified non-coding RNA (231 nucleotides) under Glomus sp. Its description in RNAcentral is "partial contains 5.8S ribosomal RNA and internal transcribed spacer 2". The stretch from base 1 to 65 matches the Rfam family "5.8S ribosomal RNA", at positions 84 to 154 of the family's 154-position model. Lineage: Eukaryota; Fungi; Glomeromycota; Glomeromycetes; Glomerales; Glomeraceae. The record is from RNAcentral.
GUGAAUCAUCGAAUUUUUGAACGCAAAUUGCACUCUCUUCUGAGAGUAGGCCUGUUUGAGGGUCAGCCUAAAAAAAAAUCGACAUAGUCGCUGUUUCGCGGUGACAUUGGUCGGGAAUUGGGUGAUCUUAUACCUUUUGGUUUUAAGCGGCUUAAAAUUUUCUUUACGAUUGCACGAUCGUUUCUAAACUUUACUUCUUAUAUGGUUUAUGUAUCGAUCUUUAUUAGACGU